AGCCAAAGGGAAGCAUCUCUACUUAGAAUUUGCCUCCUUUGGGAAUUUUUUAGUGAGAUGUUAUCCUCAGAAUGGGGUAAGAUUAGGUCAGAUAGAGAGCAGAACGAUGUCAAAGGCUGCACUGAAGACUAAGUCCUAGCAGGAAUGAACUAAGAGAGUACAUGAAGUGCUGAGUGACCUGAAUGAAAGACACAGAUGGCUGACCCAAUAGCGCAUAUGUUGCAAACAAUUUGGACUUCCCUGCUUAAGGCUCAAAUUAAGGGAAGUAGUAUAUGACUAAGUCCCAAGUUGGAACGAUGAAUAAUCUACUCCCUGCCCCUGAGAAUCUAGAACCAGGAACCCACAAGGUAAAAUGGUCUUGAAAAAAGCCCAAGUGGGGGCAAAAUGGUGCAGCCUACUUGCACCAUAGAGGCAAUUAUUAGUAGGGGGAGGAAUGGUCAUACCACAAGGAAUUUGCAUGUGGUCCUCAGAAAUUGUGAAACACAGAUUCUCAUCACAAAGGUGACCCUAAUUAUAUCAUUUUGGCAGAUCAGAGCCCCCUCCAUCCCCUAUUUAGUACUUGGUAUAAUUAUCCAACUGUCAAUUAAUGCCAAAGAGCGUGGUAUAAAAGGCUUGGAUGUGCCCCUGUCCAAAUGGAAAUCUUGAUACACAACAGGAAAAUGGCAUAUAUUUCACUGUGGAGGGUGGAUCUGCCUAUUUUAGUGUCAAACACCUGUUCUACUCCCCCUGAGAUUCUCAGCCUGUCAGAAUGACCAAAGGAGACAGAAGCAGCAUUGGGUUUCAGUGCCACUGAAGAAUUAUCAAGACAUCUUGUUCAUCAAUGACUCUUAAUGACAGAUUUCUGAAUUUUUGAAGGAAGCUGUACAGGACAUUGAAAACUAGGGACUCUGUGUUGUGAUGAAAACUGCAUCAACGUUGUGACUACAAUUAUGAACCAGACUGUAAAGGAAAGCUGGUCCUCUCUAUGCUCAGUCAAUUGUCCAAGCUGCGAAGGGGUGGAGUAUAAGGGAAUUAAUGGUUGUGGCCUGAACACCUGCUUCUGAUGGAGUACCUGAUGAAGGGGAGUGGGUAGCCUUGGGAGCACAGGUGCAAGCAAUUGCCUGUGCAAUCCCUAACCUUAUUUAAGGGUUCUCAGCCAAGGGAGGAGCAUUUCUACUUGAUGACUGUUUCCUUUGGAAGUUUUUCAAUGAGCUCUUCUCCUCAGAAAUGGAUGUGAAGUUGAAAAGACCACCAAGAUCAUCUAGUCCAGCUGUGAUGACAAACCUAGUUGAAAAAAGUAUGCUUUUAAAAAAUUUCUGGCUUAAGAUGUUGUGUGACUGCUUUGAAUGGGCAAGGAUCCCAUCCAGUAAGAGCAGUAGCCAUUGGCAUUUUGUGGGGGUUUAAGAGCCAGGAUUGUAUUUGCUUAAUAUCUUGGUUGCAUUGCUAGUAGCUGCCACUGGAGCUGAGAGGAGCUGUUGAGCUUUCUUGAGUCCUCUCCAGAGCAAGCUGCAGACACCCUGCUCUUCCCAGCUCCUUUUUUCUGGGCAGGCCCUUUGGCAGCAGCACCUCCAGGUCUGUCUCACUCCUGGCACUGCCUUCUCUCUUCUCAGCCAGACCAGUCCCAGUAAACAGAAAGUCAGGGAAUGUGUGGUGAGGACUGGCUACCAAGCAAAGUGGGUUAUUACAAGCUCUGUUGCAGAAGUAAGCUCUGGAGGGAGGGAAGUGCUCCAGAAAGGAAUACAGGGAUGUGAAUAGUGGCCCCUCUUCAGGUGAGAGCUCAUGGGAGGGCCUUUGAUAUUCAUGAAAUCCUGGAUUGAAGAAACCAGUCUAGAAAACUGCUUAAGAUAGGCUUGUAGGGAUGAGCGUAAAGACACUGAGGAUCUGGAGGGGCUUGUGCACUACAGAGCCUGAAGCUGAUAAGCAGAGCUUUGAACAGAGAAAGGGGAAAGCUGUAACUGAGAUGAAAGAGGCAUUUUUAAAUAAAAGAAAACAACUUGUCAUGUAACCAGACAGUUAAGGGAGUGAAAUACUUGCCUCUGAUAGAGUUUUUCUUAGUUCAGAGAUAGGAGAAGCCUAUGUCAGCAGCGAGCAUUGAACAAACGGAAUGAGGAACAGGCAAAGCAUCAAUCAUCUUUAUUAAAUGAUACUGAAUGUCCACAGUCCUUAACUAGACCCAGCUAUACUUGCUACUAGGUUAACACAAACACUAAUCUACCAUCAUUUGAGCAUAAUAUGUUAAUAGGGCAGCUUUUCCUUCCCUGAUGGGAAGUCUGACAGAAAUAGGCAGGUGCAUGGGUACCAGAGGAGAGGCUCCCACUGACUUAUCAGAGCAGCAGGAAAGCCAGAAAGACCUCAUCACACAUGCCACUUAUUUUGCUGGAUGUUGCUUACUUCUGGCUGCACAAAGUGCAACAAGAGAAAUGGAGCCCCAGGAAUGGGGAGUGGAUGUGUUUGUUUCUCCUUAACUGUGUGCAUGUCUUCAUUUGCUCAACACUUAAAUCAGUUACAAGACACUUGUUGACUGGCAAUAAAUAUUUCUCAGCUGAUAGCUAGGUCACCUGCUGCAGAAAGAUGUGAGAUGAUUCUAAGAAGCCAUUCUGAGGCAUCUACUGCUACCAUGCUCAUCUUGAUAUGGGCUGGUUGAGCUGGCUAAAUCACUAUGCUCCAAUUCAUAAGUAAAAAAAAACGACAGGAUAAUAAGUUUUCAUGGAAUUCAGGAGUUCAGAUUUCUUUCAAGUCUUAGCAUAUGCAGAUUUUUCCCAUAGUAAGCACUUUGCUGUUCUGAUAGACAUUGGUUACUUCAAAAGAGAGCCUAGAUUUGCACUCCAGAAUGGUUUGCUUUUGUGGUUUCUUCUUUUCCUUCCUGUUCUAUUAUGGUUGAAGAAACAAAAGAAAUGUUAUUCUGUUAAAAGUGGGCUUUGUUCUUGUGGGAUAACAACUUCCUUAAAUUUAUUACUUUUUAAACAGGUU
Tympanuchus pallidicinctus (lesser prairie-chicken) is the source of this 2949-nucleotide long non-coding RNA. RefSeq lists it as uncharacterized. The transcript has 3 exons. The record is from RefSeq and is a predicted model, not a curated record. Lineage: Eukaryota; Metazoa; Chordata; Aves; Galliformes; Phasianidae.